This 305-nucleotide ribosomal RNA is filed under the name uncultured bacterium. RNAcentral describes it as "bacterial SSU rRNA". It matches the Rfam family "Bacterial small subunit ribosomal RNA", at positions 334 to 637 of the family's 1533-position model. The record is from RNAcentral.
UUGUCCUACGGGGCGCAGCAGUGAGGAAUAUUGGUCAAUGGCCGAGAGGCUGAACCAGCCAAGUCGCGUGAGGGAAGACGGCCCUACGGGUUGUAAACCUCUUUUGUCGGGGAGCAAAGAGAGUCACGUGUGACUCAUUGAGAGUACCCGAAGAAAAAGCAUCGGCUAACUCCGUGCCAGCAGCCGCGGUAAUACGGAGGAUGCGAGCGUUAUCCGGAUUUAUUGGGUUUAAAGGGUGCGCAGGCGGCGAGUUAAGUCAGCGGUAAAAUUUCGGGGCUCAACCCCGACGAGCCGUUGAAACUGGC